Molecule: ribosomal RNA, 463 nt
Filed under: uncultured bacterium
Lineage: Bacteria
Description: partial 16S ribosomal RNA
Rfam family: Bacterial small subunit ribosomal RNA
Source: RNAcentral
CUACGGGACGCACCAGUGGGGAAUAUUGCACAAUGGGCGCAAGCCUGAUGCAGCCAUGCCGCGUGUAUGAAGAAGGCCUUCGGGUUGUAAAGUACUUUCAGCGGGGAGGAAGGGAGUAAAGUUAAUACCUUUGCUCAUUGACGUUACCCGCAGAAGAAGCACCGGCUAACUCCGUGCCAGCGCCGCGGUAAUACGGAGGGUGCAAGCGUUAAUCGGAAUUACUGGGCGUAAAGCGCACGCAGGCGGUUUGUUAAGUCAGAUGUGAAAUCCCCGGGCUCAACCUGGGAACUGCACCUGAUACUGGCAAGCUUGAGUCUCGUAGAGGGGGGUAGAAUUCCAGGUGUAGCGGUGAAAUGCGUAGAGAUCUGGAGGAAUACCGGUGGCGAAGGCGGCCCCCUGGACGAAGACUGACGCUCAGGUGCGAAAGCGUGGGGAGCAAACAGGAUUAGAUACCCUCGUAGUC